This is a non-coding RNA of Pelobates cultripes (western spadefoot toad), 340 nucleotides long. Lineage: Eukaryota; Metazoa; Chordata; Amphibia; Anura; Pelobatidae. The record is from the annotation of a GenBank genome assembly.
UAAAAACACUAAAAAUAUAUUCAGAUAAUACCAAUAUUUGAAAAAUAUGAGCCAGGAACGUAUUGCAAGAGUAUUACCAGCAAUUUAGCAGUUCUUGAAUCAGAUAAACCGCAGGGACCGUCCAGGAUGGAUAUGGAUACAGUGUUGCAGAAACUGUGAUCUCUGGCUGUCGGCUGUGAGGUUGGCGUGCGUCCCAGACCUCACUCUGAGUGAUGCACGCUGUUGGCCGAUCGGUCCCCAGAUCUUGGGAUGUUACACUCUCGGUGGAAAGGAGAAGAAAUCCUUUGCUGCUGGUUUCAAAAUUCUGCAUCCGUAUCCUGCUCAGUCUGAUAUGGUCUAA